This 623-nucleotide long non-coding RNA is filed under the name Homo sapiens (human). RNAcentral describes it as "uncharacterized LOC105369165, transcript variant 2 (LOC105369165)". The record is from RNAcentral. Lineage: Eukaryota; Metazoa; Chordata; Mammalia; Primates; Hominidae.
AGCACUGGGACUAUCUGAAGUCUCUGGAAGAAGCUGCAGGAAAUCCAGUUCUAUCAGAUUUCGCUUCAAAAAUUUUGGACCUUUGUUACUAGGUACAUAAACAUCUGAGGUGUUUAUUGGAGCUCUUUGCCUAGAACUGAUAAUUGGAUUCAUGGUAUUCUGGAGAACAAGAUCUGGCAAUGAAGAAUGGACUUGGAAGUGGUAGACAAUACAAUUGAUAACUGGAAGAACAGAUAACAGAACAGCAUACAGGAAACAGGCUGAGGAAGAAUAAGAGACUUGCUUGAGGAAGAAAACUGAAGCCCAGAAAGCUUAAUAUAUUACCCAAAGAGUUAGUCCACAUUGAACUGGGAGUUAAUCCUUGUCUGUCUGGCUGGAAAGCUUUUGCUCUGUAUCUUGGAUGAAUAAACUAAACCUUAGGGAAUCUUCCUAGAAGAAACCAUAUAACGCCUCCUGUACGAGAAGUUAAAUUACAACACAAAGAUUGCUUGGUGAGCAUGUGAUCAAAACAGGGCAAGAUGAAGACCUUUAGAGGCCACAAGCAUUUUAGUGUGCCUCCCAACUUCCCUUAUAUUAUUCAAAAUAUAAACAAUAAAAUCUACAAAGAUGUGAAAGAAGUCCAA